Molecule: ribosomal RNA, 426 nt
Filed under: uncultured bacterium
Lineage: Bacteria
Description: partial 16S ribosomal RNA
Rfam family: Bacterial small subunit ribosomal RNA
Source: RNAcentral
GUGAGGAAUUUUCCGCAAUGGGCGAAAGCCUGACGGAGCAAUGCCGCGUGAAGGAUGAAGGCCUAUGGGUUGUAAACUUCUUUUCUCAGAAAAGAAUUAUGACGGUAUCUGAGGAAUAAGCAUCGGCUAACUCUGUGCCAGCAGCCGCGGUAAGACAGAGGAUGCAAGCGUUAUCCGGAAUGAUUGGGCGUAAAGCGUCUGUAGGUUGUUUAAAAAGUAUUCUGUCAAAGAUUAGGGCUUAACCCUAGAUAGUCAGAAUAAACUUUUAAGCUAGAGUUUGGUAGAGGCAGAGGGAAUUCCCGGUGGAGCGGUGAAAUGCGUAGAUAUCGGGAGGAACACCAAAGGCGAAGGCACUCUGCUGGGCCAAUACUAACACUGAGAGACGAAAGCGAGGGGAGCAAAUGGGAUUAGAAACCCCGGUAGUCC